CAGCAGUAGCCGCGGUAAUACGAAGGGUGCAAGCGUUAAUCGGAAUUACUGGGCGUAAAGCGUGCGUAGGCGGUUUGUUAAGUCUGCUGUGAAAUCCCCGGGCUCAACCUGGGAAUGGCAGUGGACACUGGCUCGCUAGAGUGUGUCAGAGGAUGGUGGAAUUCCCGGUGUAGCGGUGAAAUGCGUAGAGAUCGGGAGGAACAUCAGUGGCGAAGGCGGCCAUCUGGGACAACACUGACGCUGAGGCACGAAAGCGUGGGGAGCAAACAGGAUUAGAUACCCCCGUAGUCCCUGUCUCUUAUAC
This 304-nucleotide ribosomal RNA is filed under the name uncultured bacterium. RNAcentral's name for it is "partial 16S ribosomal RNA". It matches the Rfam family "Bacterial small subunit ribosomal RNA", at positions 506 to 807 of the family's 1533-position model. The record is from RNAcentral.